GUUGUUGGAGACUACGACGUAGAUAGGCAGGGUGUGUAAGCGUAGCGAUACGUUGAGCUAACCUGUACUAAUUGCCCGUGAGGCUUAACCAU
RNAcentral lists this ribosomal RNA (92 nucleotides) under Plesiomonas shigelloides. RNAcentral describes it as "partial 23S ribosomal RNA". It matches the Rfam family "Bacterial large subunit ribosomal RNA", at positions 2834 to 2925 of the family's 2925-position model. Lineage: Bacteria; Pseudomonadati; Pseudomonadota; Gammaproteobacteria; Enterobacterales; Enterobacteriaceae. The record is from RNAcentral. RNAcentral also lists the same sequence under 1 other name.